Molecule: long non-coding RNA, 26234 nt
Filed under: Durio zibethinus
Lineage: Eukaryota; Viridiplantae; Streptophyta; Magnoliopsida; Malvales; Malvaceae
Description: long non-coding RNA (DZIB_LNC001854)
Source: RNAcentral
GAGAUAUUCAAAUUAAUUUCCACUUAAAAACCUGCUAAAACAAUGCCUUCAUAUUUUAAAGCUUGACUCCAGUGAAAAUCAUUUUCACAGGAAAACAUAAAAUUUCAAAAGCAUUAGGCUUCGAGUGCUCCCCCUGUGAACUGCUAAAACAGUUUAGCACAUAAUUAUUCACAUUAAGCACCGAUAACAACUUCAUAAAUAAUAUCCAAAUAUGAAGAUCACUCAUAUGUAAUUCCUCAAAAUCCUUAGAGCACCUAAAAAUGUAUCUAAAAAGCAAAUAAGUAUGAAACGCAGCGAAAAAUUAAAAUCGUGCGAUAAUCGUGCGAAUGGUUUUUAUGCCCAGAAUUGUUCAGAAACAAAGUCUGAUGUUUUUAAGCUGCAAAAUCCUUUAUAACUUUCACUUAACACUACGAAAAUUAUGAAAACCAACGCAAGUUUUGCCGAGUUUCUUUGUUUGAGUGAGUUAAAACAUUGGAUUCGAGAUAUUCAAAUUAAUUUCCACUUAAAAACCUGCUAAAACAAUGCCUUCAUAUUUUAAAGCUUGACUCCAGUGAAAAUCAUUUUCACAGGAAAACAUAAAAUUUCAAAAGCAUUAGGCUUCGAGUGCUCCCCCUGUGAACUGCUAAAACAGUUUAGCACAUAAUUAUUCACAUUAAGCACCGAUAACAACUUCAUAAAUAAUAUCCAAAUAUGAAGAUCACUCAUAUGUAAUUCCUCAAAAUCCUUAGAGCACCUAAAAAUGUAUCUAAAAGCAAAUAAGUAUGAAACGCAGCGAAAAAUUAAAAUCGUGCGAUAAUCGUGCGAAUGGUUUUUAUGCCCAGAAUUGUUCAAAAGCAAAGCCUGAUGUUUUAAGCUGCAAAAUCCUUUAUAACUUUCGCUUAACAGUAUGAAAAACUAAAACCAACGCAAGUUUUACCAAGUUUCUUUGUUUGAGUGAGUUUAAAACAUUGGAUUCAAGAUAUUCAAAUUUAUUUCCAUUUAAAAACCUGCUAAAACAAUGCUUUCAUAUUUUAAAGCUUGAGUCCAGUGAAAAUCAUUUUCAAAGGAAAACAUGAAAUUUCAAAAGCAUUAGGCUUCGAGUGCUCCCCCUAUAAACUGCUAAAACAAUUUAGCACACAAUUAUUCCAUUAAGCACCAAUAACAACUUCAUAAAUAAUAUCCAAAUAUGAAGAUAAUUCAUAUGUAAUUCCUUAAAAUCCUUAGAGCACCUAAAAAUGUAUCUAAAAGCAAAUAAGUAUGAAACACGACGAAAAAUUAAAAUCGUGCGAUAAUUGUGCGAAUGGUUUUUAUGCCCAGAAUUGUUCAAAACCAAAAGUCUGAUGUUUUAAACUUCGAAAUCCUUUAUAACUUACACUUAACACCAUGAAAAACAACAAGAAAAUUAAAAUUACGCGAAAUUUAUUUGAAUGUUUUUUAUGCCCAGAAUUGUUCGAAAACAAAGUCUGAUAUUUUGAGCUUCAAAAUCCUUUCUAAGUUACGCUUAAAACUGUGGAGAAAUAAAAAACCAACGCUACUUUUACCUUGUUUCAUUGUUUGAGCAGGUUUAAAACGUUCGAUUCAAUAGAUUCAAAUUCAUUUCCAUUUAAGAACCUUCUAAAACAAUUCUUUCAUAUUUUAAAGCUGGACUAUAGAGAAAAUCAUAUUCGAAGAGAAACAUAAAUUUUCAAAAGCAUUAGGCUUUUAGUUCUCCUUCUAUAAACUGCUAAAACAAGUUAGCAGACCACUAAUCACAUCAGGCGCCAAUAACAACUUCACAAAUAAUAUCGAAAUAUCAAGAUCAUUAACAUGCAAUCUCACAAGUUCCUUAGAGCACCUAGAAAAGUAUCUAAAAGGCAAUAAGUAUGAAACACAAUGAAAAAUUCAAAUCUUGCAAAAAUGGUUUUUAUGCCACAAUUUUGAAAAUUUGCAAAUGCUUUUUUAUGCCCAAAAUUGUUCAAAAAUGAAAUCAGAUGUUUUAAGCUUCAAAAUCCUUUAUAACUUACACUUAGCACUAUGAAAAAUUAAAACCAAUGCAAGUUUUACCAUGUUUCUUAAUUUGAGCAAUUUUAAAACAUCGGAUUCAAGAUAUUCAAAUUCAUUUUCGUUUAAAAUCCUGCCAAAACAAUGCUUUCGUAUUUUAAAGCUUGACUCAAGUGAAAAUCAUUUUCAAAGCAAAACAUAAAAUUCUAAAAGCAUUAGCCUCGAUUGCUCCCUUAUAAACUGCAAAAAUAAUUUAGCACACAAUUAAUCACAUCAAGCACCAAUAACAACUCCACAAAUAAUAUCCAAAUAUGAAGAUCAUUCAUAUGUAAUUCCUCAACUCCUUAGAGAGCCUAAAUUUGUAUCUAAAAGAAAAUAAGUAUGAACACGAUGAAAAAUUAAAAUCGUGCAAUAAUUGUGCGAAUGGUUUUUCUGCCCAGAAUUGUUUAGAAACAAAGUCUGAUGUUUUAAGCUGCAAAAUCCUUUGUAACUUUCGCUUAACACUAUGAAAAAUUAAAACCAACGCAUGUUUUACCAAGUUUCUUUGUUUGAGCAAGUUUAAAACAUUGCAUUCAAGAUUUUCAAAUUCAUUCCCAUUUAAAAACCUGCUAAAACAACGCUUUCUUAUUUUAAAGCUUGACUCCAGUGAAAAUCGUUUUCACAGCAAAACAUAAAAUUUCAAAAGCAUUAGGCUUCGAGUGCUCACCCUGUAAACUGGUAGAAAGCACAUAACAAUAUCCAACUUGACAAAUAAUAUCGAAAUAUGAAUUUUGAUUCAUAUGCAAUUCCUAACCAUCCUUAGAGCACCAAAAAAUGUAUCUAAAAGCAAAUAAGUAUGAAACACGAUGAAAAAUUAAAAUUGUGCAAUAAUUGUGCGAAUGGUUUUUAUGCCCAGAAUUGUUUAGAAACAAAGUCUGAUGUUUUUAGCUGCAAAAUCCUUUAUAACUUUCGCUUAACAGUAUGAAAAACUAAAACCAACGCAAGUUUUACCAAGUUUCUUUGUUUGAGUGAGUUUAAAACAUUGGAUUCAAGAUAUUGAAAUUUAUUUCCAUUUAAAAACCUGCUAAAACAAUGCUUUCUUAUUUUAAAGCUUGACUCUAAUGAAAAUCGUUUUCAAAGCAAAACAUAAAAUUUCAAAAACAUUAGGCUUCUAGUGCUCCCCCUGUAAACUGGUAGAAAGCACCUAACAAUAUCUAACUUGACAAAUAAUAUCCAAAUAUGAAUUUCAUAUUUAUGUAAUUCCUAAACAUCCUUAGAGCACCUAAAUAUGUAUGUAAAAGCAAAUAAGUACGAAAUACAAUAAAAUAUUAAAAUCGUGCAAUAAUUGUGCGAAUAGUUUUUAUGCCCAGAAUUGUUCAGAAACAAAGUCUGAUGUUUUAAGCUGCAAAAUCCUUUAUAACUUUCGCUUAACAGUGUGAAAAACUAAAACCAACGCAAGUUUUACCAAGUUUCUUUGUUUGGGUGUGUUUAAAACAUUGGAUUCAAGAUAUUCAAAUUCAUUUCCAUUUAAAAACCUGCUAAAACAUUUCUUUCAUAUUUUAAAGCUUUACUCCAGUGAAAAUCAUUUUCAAAGGAAAACAUAAAAUUUCAAAAGCAUUAGGCUUCGAGUGCUCCCCCUAUAAACUGCUAAAACAAUUUAGCACACAAUUAUUCACAUUAAGCACCAAUAACAAGUUCAUAAAUAAUAUCCAAAUAUGAAGAUCAUUCAUAUGUAAUUCCUCAAAAUCCUUAGAGCACCUAAAAAUGUAUCUAAAAGCAAAUAAGUAUGAAACACAACGAGAAAUUAAAAUCGUACGAUAAUUGUGCGAAUGGUUUUUAUGCCCAGAAUUAUUCGAAACCAAAAGUCUGAUGUUUUAAACUUCGAAAUCCUUUAUAACUUACACUUAACACCAUGAAAAGCAAGAACAAAAUUAAAAUCACGAGAAAAUUGUUCGAAUGUUUUUUAUGCCCAGAAUUGUUUGAAAACAAAUUCUGAUAUUUUGAGCUUCAAAAUCCUUUCUAAGCUUCGCUUAAAACUGUGGAAAAAUUAAAAAUCAAUGCUAGUUUUACCUCGUUUCAUUGUUUGAGCAGGUUUAAAACGUUCGAUUCAAUAGAUUCAAAUUCAUUUCCAUUUAAAAACUUUCUAAAACAAUUCUUUCAUAUUUUAAAGCUGGACUAUAGAGAAAAUCAUAUCCGAAGAAAAACAUAAAAUUUCAAAAGCAUUAGGCUUUUAGUGCUCCUUUUAUAAACUGCUAAAACAAGUUAGCAGACCACUAAUCACAUCAGGCACCAAUAACAACUUCACAAAUAAUAUCGAAAUAUCUAGAUCAUUAACAUGUAAUCUCACAAGUUCCUUAGAGCACCUAAAAAUGUACCUAAAAGCCAAUAAGUAUGAAACACAACGAAAAAUUCUAAUCUUGCAAAAAUGAUUUUUAUGCCACAAUUUUGAAAUUUUGCAAAUGCUUUUUUAUGCUCAAAAUUGUUUAAAAAUGAAAUCAGAUGUUUUAAGCUUCAAAAUCCUUUAUAACUUACACUUAACACUGUGAAAAAUUAAAACCAAUGCAAGUUCUACCAUGUUUCUUAAUUUGAGCAAUUUUAAAACAUCGGAUUCAAGAUAUUCAAAUUCAUUUCCGUUUAAAAACCUGCUAAAACAAUGCUUUCGUAUUUUAAAGCUUAACUCCAGUGAAAAUCAUUUUCAAAGCAAAACAUAAAAUUCUAAAAGCAUUAGGCUUCGAGUGCUCCUUUUAUGAACUGCUAAAAUAAUUUAGCACACAAUUAAUCAUGUCAGGCACGAAUAACAAUUUCACAAAUAAUAUCCAAAUAUUAAGCUCAUUCAUAUGUAAUUCCUCAACUCCUUAGAGCGCCUAAAUUUGUGUCGAAAAGAAAAUAAGUAUGAAUACAAUGAAAAAUUAAAAUCAUGCAAUAAUUGUGCGAUUGGUUUUUCUGCCCAGAAUUGUUCAAAAACAAAGUCUGAUGUUUUAAGCUGCAAAAUCCUUUAUAACUUUCGCUUAACACUAUGAAAAACUAAAACCAACGCAAGUUUUACCAAGUUUCUUUGUUUGAGUGAGUUUAAAACAUUGGAUUCAAGAUAUUCAAAUUCAUUUCCAUUUAAAAACCAGCUAAAACAAUGCUUUCAUAUUUUAAAGCUUAACUCCAGUGAAAAUCAUUUUCAAAGGAAAACAUAAAAUUUCAAAAGCAUUAGGCUUCGAGUGCUCCCCCUAUAAACUGCUAAAACAAUUUAGCACACAAAUUAUUCACAUUAAGCACCAAUAACAACUUCAUAAAUAAUAUCCAAAUAUGAAGAUCAUUCAUAUGUAAUUCUUCAAAAUCCUUAGAGCACUUAAAAAUGUGUCUAAAAGCAAAUAAGUAUGAAAAACAACGAAAAAUUAAAGUCAUGCAAUAAUUGUGCGAAUGAUUUUUAUGUCCAGAAUUGUUCAAAACCAAAAGUCUGAUAUUUUAAACAUCGAAAUCCUUUAUAACUUACACUUAACACCAUGAAAAACAACGACAAAAUUAAAAUCACGCGAAAAUUGUUCGAAAGUCUUUUAUAUCCAGAAUUGUUCGAAAACAAAGUCUGAUAUUUUGAGCUUCAAAAUCCUUUCUAAGUUACACUUAAAACAGUAGAAAAAUUAAAAACCAAUGCUAGUUUUACCUUGUUUCAUUGUUUGACCAGGUUUAAAACAUUCGAUUGAAAAAUGAAAUAGGUUGUUUUAAGCUUCAAAAUCCUUUAUAACUUACACUUAACACUGUGAAAAAUUAAAACCAAUGCAAGUUUUGCCAUGUUUCUUUAUUUGAGCAUGUUUAAAACAUCGGAUUCAAGAUAUUCAAAUUCAUUUCCGUUUAAAAACCUGCUAAAACAAUGCUUUCGUAGUUUAAAGCUUUACUCCAGUGAAAAUCAUUUUCAAAGCAAAACAUAAAAUUAUAAAAGCAUUAGGCUUCGAGUGCUCCCCUUAUAAACUGCUAAAAUAAUUUAGCACACAAUUAAUCACAUCAAGCACCAAUAACAACUUCACAAAUAACAUCCAAAUACGAAGAUCAUUCAUAUGUAAUUCUUCAACUCCUUAGAGCGCCUAAAUUUGUAUCUAAUAGAAAAUAAGUAUGAACACGAUUAAAAAUUAAAUCGUGCAAUAAUUGUGCGAAUGAUUUUUAUGCCCAAAAUUUUUCAGAAAAAAAGUCCGAUGUUCAUAAAGCUUCAGUGAAAAUCAUUUUCAAAGAAAAACAUAAAAUUUCAAAAGCAUUAGGCUUCGAGUGCUCACCCUAUAAACUAUUAAAACAAUUUAGCACACAAUUAUUCACAUUAAGCACCAAUAACAACUUCAUAAAUAAUAUCCAAAUAUGAAGAUCAUUCAUAUGUAAUUCCUCAAAAUCCUUAGAGCACCUAAAAAUGUAUCUAAAAGCAAAUAAGUAUGAAACACAGCGAAAAAUAAAAAUCGUGCGAUAAUUGUGCAAAUGAUUUUUAUGUCCAGAAUUGUUCAAAACCAAAAGUCUGAUAUUUUAAACUUCGAAAUCCUUUAUAACUUACACUUAACACCAUGAAAAACAACAACAAAAUUAAAAUCACGCGAAAAUUGUUUGAAUGUUUUUUAUGCCCAGAAUUGUUCGAAAACAAAGUUUGAUAUUUUGAGCUUCAAAAUCCGUUCUAAGUUACACUUAAAACAGUGGAAAAAUUAAAAACCAACGCUAAUUUUACCUUGUUUCAAUGUUUGAGCAGGUUUAAAACGUUCGAUUGAAAAAUGAAAUUGGUUGUUUUAAGCUUCAAAAUCAUUUAUAACUUAUACUUAACACUAUGAAAAAUUAAAACCAAUGCAAGUUUUACCUUGUUUCUUUAUUUGAGCAUGUUUAAAACAUCGGAUUCAAGAUAUUCAAAUUCAUUUUCGUUUAAAAACCUGCUAAAACAAUGCUUUCGUAGUUUAAACCUUUACUCCAGUGAAAAUCAUUUUCAAAGCAAAACAUAAAAUUAUAAAAGCAUUAGGCUUCGAGUGCUCCCCUGAUAAACUGCUAAAAUAAUUUAGCACACAAUUAAUCACAUGAAGCACCAAUAACAACUUCACAAAUAAUAUCCAAAUAUGAAGAUCAUUCAUAUAUAAUUCCUCAACUCCUUAGAGCGCCUAAAUUUGUAUCUAAAAGAAAAUAAGUAUGAACACGAUGAAAAAUUAAAAUCGUGCAAUAAUUGUGCGAAUGAUUUUUACGCCCAAAAUUGUUCAGAAAGAAAGUCUGAUGUUUUAAGCUCCAAAAUCCUUUAUAACUUGCAAUUAACACUAUGAAAAAUUAAAACCAAUGGGAAGUUUUAUAUGUUUCUUUGUUUGAGCAAGUUUAAAACAUUGGAUUCAAGAUUUUCAAAUUCAUUUCCAUUAAAAACCUUCUAAAACAAUGCUUUCUUAUUUGAAAGCUUUACUCUAGUGAAAAUCGUUUUCAAAGGAAAACAUAAAAUUUCAAAAGCAUUAGGCUUCGAGUGCUCCGCCUGUAAACUGGUAGAAAGCACAUAACAGUAUCCAACUUCACAAAUAAUAUGCAAAUAUGAAUUUCAUUCAUAUGCAAAUUGUAAACAUCCUUAGAGCAACUAAAAAUGUAUGUAAAAGCAAAUAAGUAUGAAACACAACGAAAUAUGAAAAUCGUAUAAUAAUUGUGCGAAUGGUUUUUAUGCUCAGAAUUGUUCAGAAAGAAAGUCUGAUGUUUUAAGCUACAAAAUCGUUCAUAACUUUUGCUUAACACUAUGAAAAACUAAAACCAACGCAAGUUUUACCAAGUUUCUUUGUUUUAGUGAGUUUAAAACAUUGGAUUCAAGAUAUUCAAAUUCAUUUCCAUUUAAAAACCUGCUAAAACAACGCUUUCAUAUUUUAAAGCUUAACUCCAGUGAAAAUCGUUUUCAAAGCAAAACAUAAAAUUUCAAAAGCAUUAGGCUUCGAGUGCUCCCCUGUAAACUGGUAGAAAGCACAUAACAAUAUCAAACUUCACAAAUAAUAUCCAAAUAUGAAUUUCAUUCAUAUGUAAUUCCUAAACAUCCUUAGAGCACCUAAAAAUGUAUCAAAAAUAAAAUAAGUAUGAAACACAACGAAAUAUUAAAAUCAUGCAAUAAUUGUGCGAAUGGUUUUUAUGCCCAGAAUUGUUCAGAAACAAAGUCUGAUGUUUUAAGCUGCAAAAUCCUUUAUAACUUUCACUUUACACUAUGAAAAACUAAAACCAACGCAAGUUUUACCAAGUUUCUUUGUUUGAGUGAGUUUAAAACAUUAGAUUCAAGAUAUUCAAAUUUAUUUACAUUUAAAAACCUGCUCAAACAAUGCUUUCAUAUUUUAAAACUUGACUCCAGUGAAAAUCAUUUUCAAAGGAAACAUAAAAUUUCAAAAGUAUUAGGUUUCGAGUGCUCCACCUAUAAACUGCUAAAACAAUUUAGCACACAAUUAUUCACAUUAAGCACCAACAACUUCACAAAUAAUAUCCAAAUAUGAAGAUCAUUCAUAUGUAAUUCCUCAACUCCUUAGAGCGCAUAAAAUUUGUAUCUAAAAGAAAAUAAGUAUGAACACAAUGAAAAAUUAAAAUCGUGCAAUAAUUGUGCGAAUGGUUUUUAUGCCCAGAAUUGUUUAGAAAUAAAGUCUGAUGUUUUAAGCUGCAAAAUCCUUUAUAACUUUCGCUUAACACUAUAAGAAACUAAAACCAAUGCAAGUUUUACCAAGUUUCUUUGUUUGAGCAAGUUUAAAACAUUGGAUUCAAGAUUUUCAAAUUCAUUUCCAUUUAAAAACCUGCUAAAACAAUGCUUUCUUAUUUUAAAGCUUGACUCCAGUGAAAAUCAUUUUCAAAGCAAAACAUAAAAUUUCAAAAGCAUUACGUUUCGAGUGCUCCCCCUGUAAACUGGUAGAAAGCACAAAAUGAUAUUCAACUUCAGAAAAAUAUCCAAAUAUGAAUUUUAUUCAUAUGUAAUUCCUAAACAUCCUUAGAACACCUACAAAUGUAUCUAAAGGCAAAUAAGUAUGAAACACAAUGAAAUAUUAAAAUAGUGCAAUAAUUGUGCGAAUGGUUUGUAUGCCCAGUAUUAUUCAGAAACAAAGUCUGAUGUUUUUAGCUGUAAAAUCUUUUAUAACUUUCGCUUAACAGUAUGUAAAACUAAAACCAACGCAAGUUUUACCAAGUUUCUUUGUUUGAGUGAGUUUAAAACAUUGGAUUCAAGAUAUUCAAAUUCAUUUCCAUUUAAAAACCUGCUAAAACAAUGCUUUCUUAUUUUAAAGCUUGACUCUAAUGAAAAUCAUUUUCAAAGGAAAACAUAAAAUUUCAAAAGCAUUAGGCUUCGAGUGCUCCCCAUAUAAACUGCUAGCAAACAAUUAUUCACAUUAAGCACCAAUAACAACUUCAUAAAAAAAUCCAAAUAUGAAGAUCAUUCAUAUGUAAUUCCUUAAAAUCCUUAGAGCACCUAAAAAUGUAUCUAAAAGCAAAUAAAUAUGAAACACAGCGAAAAAUUAAAAUCGUGCGAUAAUUGUGCGAAUGGUUUUUAUGCCCAAAAUUGUUCAAAAGCAAAAGUGUAAUGUUUUAAACUUCGAAAUCCUUUAUAACUUACACUUAACACCAUGAAAAACAACAACAAAAUUAAAAUCACGCGAAAAUUGUUCGACUGUUUUUUAUGCCCAAAAUUGUUCGAAAAUUAAGUCUGAUGUUUUGAGCUUCAAAUCCUUUCUAAGUUACGCUUAACACUGUGAAAAAUUAAAAACCAAUGUUAGUUUUACCUAGUUUCAUUGUUUGAGCAGGUUUAAAACGUUCGAUUCAAUAGAUUCAAAUUCAUUUGCAUUUAAAAACCUUCUAAAACAAUUCCUUCAUAUUUUAAAGCUGGACUAUAGAGAAAAUCAAAUUCGAAGAAAAACAAAAAAAUUCAAAAGCAUUAGGCUUUUGCUGCUCCUUCUAUAAACUGCUAAAACAAGUUAGCAGACCAGUAAACACAUCAGGCGCCAAUAACAACUUCACAAAUAAUAUCCAAAUAUCAAGAUCAUUCACAUGUAAACUCACAAGUUCCUUAGAGCACCUAAAAAUGUAUCUAAAAGCCAAUAAGUAUGAAACACAACGAAAAAUUCAAAUGUUGCAAAAAUGGUUUUUAUGCCACAAUUUUGAAAUUUUGCAAAUGGUUUUUUCUGCCCAAAAUUGUUCAAAAAUGAAAUCGGAUGUUUUAAGCUUCAAAAUCCAUUAUAACUUACACUUAACACUGUGAAAAAUUAAAACUAAUGCAAGUUUUAUCAUGUUUUUUUAUUUUAGCAAGUUUAAAACAUCGUAUUCAAGAUAUUCAAAUUCGUUUUCGUUUAAAAACCUGCUAAAACAAUGCUUUCAUAUUUUAAAGCUUUACUCCAGUGAAAAUCAUUUUCAAGGCAAAACAUAAAAUUAUAAAAGCAUUAGGCUUCGAGUGCUCCCCUUAUAAACUGCUAAAAUAAUUUAACACACAAUUAAUCACAACAAGCACCAAUAACAACUUCAUAAAUAAUAUCCAAAUAUGAAGAUCACUCAUAUGUAAUUCCUCAAAUCCUUAGAGCACCUAAAAUGUAUCUAAAAAGCAAAUAAGUAUGAAACACGAGCGAAAAAUUAAAAUCGUGCGAUAAUCGUGCGAAUGGUUUUUAUGCCCAGAAUUGUUCAGAAACAAAGUCUGAUGUUUUUAAGCUGCAAAAUCCUUUAUAACUUUCACUUACACUACGAAAAUUAAAACCAACGCAAGUUUUACCAAGUUUCUUUGUUUGAGUGAGUUUAAAACAUUGAUUCAAGAUAUUCAAAUUAAUUUCCAUUUAAAAACCUCUAAAACAAUGCUUUCAUAUUUUAAAAGCUUGACUCCAGUGAAAAUCAUUUUCACAGGAAAACAUAAAAUUUCAAAAGCAUUAGGCUUUCGAGUGCUCCCUGUAAACUGUAAAACAGUUUAGCCAUAUUUAUUCAAUAAGCACGAUAACAACUUCAUAAAUAAUAUCCAAAUAUGAAGAUCACUCAUAUGUAAAUCCUAAACAUCCUUAGAGCACCUAAAAAUGUAUCUAAAAGCAAAUAAGUAUGAAACACAACGAAAUAUUAAAAUCGUGCAAUAAUUGUGCGAAUAGUUUUUAUGCCCAGAAUUGUUCAGAAACAAAGUCUGAUGUUUUAAGCUGCAAAAUCCUUUAUAACUUUCGCUUAACACUAUGAAAAACUAAAACCAACGCAAGUUUUACCAAGUUUCUUUGUUUGAGUGAGUUUAAAACAUUGGAUUCCAGAUAUUCAAAUUCAUUUCCAUUUAAAAACCUGCUAAAACAAUGCUUUCAUAUUUUAAAGCUUGACUCCAGUGAAAAUCAUUUUCAAAGGAAAACAUAAAAUUUCAAAAGCAUUAGGCUUCGAGUGCUCCCCAUAUAAACAGCUAAAACAAUUUAGCAAACAAUUAUUCACAUUAAGCACGAAUAACAACUUUAUAAAUAAUAUCCAAAUAUGAAGAUCAUUCAUAUGUAAUUCCUCAAAAUCUUUAGAGCACCUAAAAAUGUAUCUAAAAGCAAAUAAGUAUGAAACACAGCGAAAAAUUAAAAUCGUGCGAUAAUUGUGCGAAUGGUUUUUAUGCUCAGAAUUGUUCAAAACCAAAAGUCUGAUGUUUUAAACUUCGAAAUCCUUUAUAACUUACACUUAACACCAUGAAAAACAACAAGAAAAUUAAAAUUACGUGAAAAUUGUUCGAAUGUUUUUUAUGCCCAGAAUUGUUCGAAAACAAUGUCUGAUAUUUUGAGUUUCAAAAUCCUUUCUAAGUUACACUUAAAACUGUGAAAAAAUUAAAAACCAAAGCUAGUUUUACCUUGUUUCAUUGUUUGAGCAGGUUUAAAACGUUCGAUUCAAUAGAUUCAAAUUCAUUUUUAUUUAAAAACCUUCUAAAACAAUUUUUUCAUAUUUUAAAGCUGGGCUAUAGGGAAAAUCAUAUUCAAAGAAAAACAUAAAAUUUCAAAAGUAUUAGGCUUUUAGUGCUCCUUCUAUAAACUGCUAAAACAAGUUAGCAGACCACUAAUCACAUCAGGUGCGAGUAACAACUUCACAAAUAAUAUCCAAAUAUCAAGAUCAUUUACAUGUAAUCUCACAAGUUCCUUAGAGCACCUUAAAAUGUAUCUAAAAGCCAAUAAGUAUGAAACACAACGAAAAAUUCAAAUGUUGCAAAAAUGGUUUUUAUGCCACAAUUUUGAAAUUUUGCAAAUGGUUUUUUCUGCCCAAAAUUGUUCAAAAAUGAAAUCGGAUGUUUUAAGCUUCAAAAUCCUUUAUAACUUACACUUAACACUGUGAAAAAUUAAAACCAAUGUAAGUUUUACAAUGUUUUUUUAUUUCAGCAAGUUUAAAACAUCGGAUUCAAGAUAUUCAAAUACAUUUCCGUUUAAAAACAUGCUAAAACAAUGCUUUCAUAUUUUAAAGCUUGACUCCAGUGAAAAUCAUUUUCAAAGCAAAACAUAAAAUUCUAAAAGCAUUAGGCUUCGAGUGCUCCCUUUAUAAACUGCUAAAAUAAUUUAGCACACAAUUGAUCACAUCAAGCACCAAUAACAACUCCACAAAUAAUAUUCAAAUAUGAAGAUCAUUCAUAUGUAGUUCCUCAACUCCUUAGAGCACCUAAAUUUGUAUCUAAAAGAAAAUAAGUAUGAACACAAUGAAAAAUUAAAAUCUUGCAAUAAUUGUGCGAAUGGUUUUUAUGCCCAGAAUUGUUCAGAAAAAAGUUUGAUGAUUUAAGCUGCAAAAUCCUUUAUAACUUUCGCUUAACACUAUGAAAAACUAAAACCAACGCAAGUUUUACCAAGUUUCUUUGUUUGAGCAAGUUUAAAACCUUGGAUUCAAGAUUUUCAAAUUCAUUUCCAUUUAAAAACCUGCUAAAACAAUGCUUUCUUAUUUUAAAGCUUGACACCAAUGAAAAUCAUUUUCAAAGCAAAACAUAAAAUUUCAAAAGCAUUAGGCUUCGAGUGCUCCCCCUGUAAACUGGUAGAAAGCACAAAACGAUAUCCAACUUCACAAAUAAUAUCCAAAUAUGAGUUUCAUUCAUAUGUAAUUCCUCAAAAUCCUUAGAGCACCUAAAAAUGUAUCUAAAAAAGCAAAUAAGUACGGAACGCAGCGAAAAAUUAAAAUCGUGCGAUAAUCGUGCGAAUGGUUUUUAUGCCCAGAAUUGUUCAGAAACAAAGUCUGAUGUUUUUAAGCUGCAAAAUCCUUUAUAACUUUCACUUAACACUACGAAAAUUAUGAAAACCAACGCAAGUUUUGCCGAGUUUCUUUGUUUGAGUGAGUUUAAAACAUUGGAUUCGAGAUAUUCAAAUUAAUUUCCACUUAAAAACCUGCUAAAACAAUGCCUUCAUAUUUAAAGCUUGACUCCAGUGAAAAUCAUUUUCGCAGGAAAACAUAAAAUUUCAAAAGCAUUAGGCUUCGAGUGCUCCCCCUGUGAACUGCUAAAACAGUUUAGCACAUAAUUAUUCACAUUAAGCACCGAUAACAACUUCAUAAAUAAUAUCCAAAUAUGAAGAUCAUUCAUAUGUAAUUCCUCAAAAUCCUUAAAGCACCUAAAAAUGUAUCUAAAAGCAAAUAAUUAUGAAACACAGCGAAAAAUUAAAAUCGUGCGAUAUUUGUGCGAAUGGUUUUUAUGCCCAAAAUUGUUCAAAACCAAAAGUCUGAUGUUUUAAACUUCGAAAUCCUUUAGAACCUACACUUAACACCAUGAAAAACAACAAGAAAAUUAAAAUCAUGCGAAAAUUGUUCGAAUGUUUUUUAUGCCCAGAAUUGUUCGAAAACAAAGUAUGAUAUUUUGAGCUUCAAAAUCCUUUCUAAGUUUCUUUGUUUGAGCAAGUUUAAAACAUUGGAUUCAAGAUUUUGAAAUUCAUUUCCAUUUAAAAACCUGCUAAAACAAUGCUUUCCUAUUUUAAAGCUUCACUCCAGUGAAAAUCGUUUUCAAAGCAAAACAUAAAAUUUCAAAAAGCAUUAGGCUUCGAGUACUCCCCUGUAAACUGGUAGAAAGCACAAAACGAUAUCCAACUUCAUAAAUAAUAUCCAAAUAUGAAGAUCACUCAUAUGUAAUUCCUCAAAAUCCUUAGAGCACCUAAAAAUGUAUCUAAAAAGCAAAUAAGUAUGAAACGCAGCGAAAAAUUAAAAUCGUGCGAUAAUCGUGCGAAUGGUUUUUAUGCCCAGAAUUGUUCAGAAACAAAGUCUGAUGUUUUUAAGCUGCAAAAUCCUUUAUAACUUUCACUUAACACUACGAAAAUUAUGAAAACCAACGCAAGUUUUGCCGAGUUUCUUUGUUUGAGUGAGCUUAAAACAUUGGAUUCGAGAUAUUCAAAUUAAUUUCCACUUAAAAACCUGCUAAAACAAUGCCUUCAUAUUUUAAAGCUUGACUCCAGUGAAAAUCAUUUUCACAGGAAAACAUAAAAUUUCAAAAGCAUUAGGCUUCGAGUGCUCCCCCUGUGAACUGCUAAAACAGUUUAGCACAUAAUUAUUCACAUUAAGCACCGAUAACAACUUCAUAAAUAAUAUCCAAAUAUGAAGAUCACUCAUAUGUAAUUCCUCAAAAUCCUUAGAGCACCUAAAAAUGUAUCUAAAAAGCAAAUAAGUAUGAAACGCAGCGAAAAAUUAAAAUCGUGCGAUAAUCGUGCGAAUGGUUUUUAUGCCCAGAAUUGUUCAGAAACAAAGUCUGAUGUUUUUAAGCUGCAAAAUCCUUUAUAACUUUCACUUAACACUACGAAAAUUAUGAAAACCAACGCAAGUUUUGCCGAGUUUCUUUGUUUGAGUGAGUUUAAAACAUUGGAUUCGAGAUAUUCAAAUUAAUUUCCACUUAAAAACCUGCUAAAACAAUGCCUUCAUAUUUUAAAGCUUGACUCCAGUGAAAAUCAUUUUCACAGGAAAACAUAAAAUUUCAAAAGCAUUAGGCUUCGAGUGCUCCCCCUGUGAACUGCUAAAACAGUUUAGCACAUAAUUAUUCACAUUAAGCACCGAUAACAACUUCAUAAAUAAUAUCCAAAUAUGAAGAUCACUCAUAUGUAAUUCCUCAAAAUCCUUAGAGCACCUAAAAAUGUAUCUAAAAAGCAAAUAAGUACGAAACGCAGCGAAAAAUUAAAAUCGUGCGAUAAUCGUGCGAAUGGUUUUUAUGCCCAGAAUUGUUCAGAAACAAAGUCUGAUGUUUUUAAGCUGCAAAAUCCUUUAUAACUUUCACUUAACACUACGAAAAUUAUUAAAACCAACGCAAGUUUUACCGAGUUUCUUUGUUUGAGUGAGUUUAAAACAUUGGAUUCGAGAUAUUCAAAUUAAUUUCCACUUAAAAACCUGCUAAAACAAUGCCUUCAUAUUUUAAAGCUUGACUCCAGUGAAAAUCAUUUUCACAGGAAAACAUAAAAUUUCAAAAGCAUUAGGCUUCGAGUGCUCCCCCUGUGAACUGCUAAAACAGUUUAGCACAUAAUUAUUCACAUCAGGUGCGAGUAACAACUUCACAAAUAAUAUCCAAAUAUCAAGAUCAUUUACAUGUAAUCUCACAAGUUCCUUAGAGCACCUUAAAAUGUAUCUAAAAGCCAAUAAGUAUGAAACACAACGAAAAAUUCAAAUGUUGCAAAAAUGGUUUUUAUGCCACAAUUUUGAAAUUUUGCAAAUGGUUUUUUCUGCCCAAAAUUGUUCAAAAAUGAAAUCGGAUGUUUUAAGCUUCAAAAUCCUUUAUAACUUACACUUAACACUGUAAAAUUAAAACCAAUGUAAGUUUUACAGAUGUUUGUAUUUCAGCAAGUUUAAAACAUCGGAUUCAAGAUAUUUAAAUACAUUUCCGUUAAAAGAACAUGCUAAAACAAUGCUUUCGUAUUUUAAAGCUUGACUCCAGUGAAAAUCAUUUUCAAAGCAAAACAUAAAAUUCUAAAAGCAUUAGCCUCGAUUGCUCCCUUAUAAACUGCUAAAAUAAUUUAGCACACAAUCAAUCACAUCAAGCACCAAUAACAACUUCACAAAUAAUAUCCAAAUAUGAAGAUCAUUCAUAUGUAAUUCCUCAACUCCUUAGAGAGCCUAAAUUUGUAUCUAAAAGAAAAUAAGUAUGAACACGAUGAAAAAUUAAAAUCGUGCAAUAAUUGUGCGAAUGGUUUUUCUGCCCAGAAUUGUUUAGAAACAAAGUAUGAUGUUUUAAGCUGCAAAAUCCUUCGUAACUUUCGCUUAACACUAUGAAAAAUUAAAACCAACGCAUGUUUUACCAAGUUUCUUUGUUUGAGCAAGUUUAAAACAUUGGAUUCAAGAUUUUCAAAUUCAUUUCCAUUUAAAAACCUGCUAAAACAACGCUUUCUUAUUUUAAAGCUUGACUCCAGUGAAAAUCGUUUUCACAGCAAAACAUAAAAUUUCAAAAGCAUUAGGCUUCGAGUGCUCACCCUGUAAACUGGUAGAAAGCACAUAACAAUAUCCAACUUGACAAAUAAUAUCGAAAUAUGAAUUUCAUUCAUAUGCAAUUCCUAACCAUCCUUAGAGCACCUAAAAAUGUAUCUAAAAGCAAAUAAGUAUGAAACACGAUGAAAAAUUAAAAUCGUGCAAUAAUUGUGCGAAUGUUUUUUAUGCCCAGAAUUGUUUAGAAACAAAGUCUGAUGUUUUUAGCUGCAAAAUCCUUUAUAACUUUCGCUUAACAGUAUGAAAAACUAAAACCAACGGAAGUUUUACCAAGUUUCUUUGUUUGAGUGAGUUUAAAACAUUGGAUUCAAGAUAUUGAAAUUUAUUUCCAUUUAAAAACCUGCUAAAACAAUGCUUUCUUAUUUUAAAGCUUGACUCUAAUGAAAAUCGUUUUCAAAGCAAAACAUAAAAUUUCAAAAGCAUUAGGCUUCUAGUGCUCCCUCUGUAAACUGGUAGAAUGCAAGUUUUAUCAUGUUUUUUUAUUUUAGCAAGUUUAAAACAUCGUAUUCAAGAUAUUCAAAUUCGUUUUCGUUUAAAAACCUGCUAAAACAAUGCUUUCAUAUUUUAAAGCUUUACUCCAGUGAAAAUCAUUUUCAAGGCAAAACAUAAAAUUAUAAAAGCAUUAGGCUUCGAGUGCUCCCCUUAUAAACUGCUAAAAUAAUUUAACACACAAUUAAUCACAACAAGCACCAAUAACAACUUCACAAAUAAUAUCCAAAUAUGAAGAUCAUUCAUAUGUAAUUCCUCAACACCUUAGAGCGCCUAAAUUUGUAUUUAAAAGAAAAUAAGUAUGAACACGAUGAAAAAUUAAAAUCGUGCAAUAAUUGUGCGAAUGGUUUUUCUGCCAAGAAUUUUUCAGAAACAAAGUCUGAUGUUUUAAGCUGUAAAAUCCUUCAUAACUUUCGCUUAACACUAUGAAAAACUAAAACCAACGCAAGUUUUACCAAGUUUCUUUGUUUGAGCAAGUUUAAAACAUUAGAUUCAAGAUUUUCAAAUUCAUUUCCAUUUAAAAACCUACUAAAACAAUGCUUUCUUAUUUUAAAGCUUCACUCCAGUGAAAAUUAUUUUCAAAGCAAAACAUAAAAUUUCAAAAGCAUUAGGCUCCGAGUGCUCCCCUUGUAAACUGGUAGAAAGCACAUAACGAUAUCCAACUUCACAAAUAAUAUCCAAAUAUGAAUUUUAUUCAUAUGUAAAUCCUAAACAUCCUUAGAGCACCUAAAAAUGUAUCUAAAAGCAAAUAAGUAUGAAACACAACGAAAUAUUAAAAUCGUGCAAUAAUUGUGCGAAUGGUUUUUAUGCCCAGAAUUGUUCAGAAACAAAGUCUGAUGUUUUAAGCUGCAAAAUCCUUUAUAACUUUCGCUUAACACUAUGAAAAACUAAAACCAACGCAAGUUUUACCAAGUUUCUUUGUUUGAGUGAGUUUAAAACAUUGGAUUCGAGAUAUUCAAAUUCAUUUCCAUUUAAAAACCUACUAAAACAAUGCUUUCAUAUUUAAAGCUUGACUCCAGUGAAAAUCAUUUCAAAGGAAAACAUAAAAUUCAAAGGCAUUAGGCUUCGAGUGCUCCCCAUAUAAACAGCUAAAACAAUUUAGCAAACAAUUAUUCACAUUAAGCACCAAUAACAACUUCAUAAAUAAUAUCCAAAUAUGAAGAUCAUUCAUAUGUAAUUCCUCAAAAUCUUUAGAGCACCUAAAAAUGUAUCUAAAAGCAAAUAAGUAUGAAACACAGCGAAAAAUUAAAAUCGUGCGAUAAUUGUGCGAAUGGUUUUUAUGCUCAGAAUUAUUCAAAACCAAAAGUCUGAUGUUUUAAACUUCGAAAUCCUUUAUAACUUACACUUAACACCAUGAAAAACAACAAGAAAAUUAAAAUUACGUGAAAAUUGUUCGAAUGUUUUUUAUGCCCAGAAUUGUUCGAAAACAAAGUCUGAUAUUUUGAGUUUCAAAAUCCUUUCUAAGUUACACUUAAAACUGUGAAAAAAUUAAAAACCAAAGCUAGUUUUACCUUGUUUCAUUGUUUGAGCAGGUUUAAAACGUUCGAUUCAAUAGAUUCAAAUUCAUUUUUAUUUAAAAACCUUCUAAAACAAUUUUUUGAUAUUUUAAAGCUGGACUAUAGGAAAAAUCAUAUUCAAAGAAAAACAUAAAAUUUCAAAAGAAUUAGGCUUUUAGUGCUCCUUCUAUAAACUGCUAAAACAAGUUAGCAGACCACUAAUCACAUCAGGUGCGAGUAACAACUUCACAAAUAAUAUCCAAAUAUCAAGAUCAUUUACAUGUAAUCUCACAAGUUCCUUAGAGCACCUUAAAAUGUAUCUAAAAGCCAAUAAGUAUGAAACACAACGAAAAAUUCAAAUGUUGCAAAAAUGGUUUUUAUGCCACAAUUUUGAAAUUUUGCAAAUGGUUUUUUCUGCCCAAAAUUGUUCAAAAAUGAAAUCGGAUGUUUUAAGCUUCAAAAUCCUUUAUAACUUACACUUAACACUGUGAAAAAUUAAAACCAAUGUAAGUUUUACAAUGUUUUUUUAUUUCAGCAAGUUUAAAACAUCGGAUUCAAGAUAUUCAAAUACAUUUCCGUUUAAAAAUAUGCUAAAACAAUGCUUUCGUAUUUUAAAGCUUGACUCCAGUGAAAAUCAUUUUCAAAGCAAAACAUAAAAUUCUAAAAGAAUUAGGCUUCGAGUGCUCCCCUUAUAAACUGCUAAAAUAAUUUAGCACACAAUUGAUCACAUCAAGCACCAAUAACAACUUCACAAAUAAUAUUCAAAUAUGAAGAUCAUUCAUAUGUAGUUCCUCAACUCCUUAGAGCACCUAAAUUUGUAUCUAAAAGAAAAUAAGUAUGAACACAAUGAAAAAUUAAAAUCUUGCAAUAAUUGUGCGAAUGGUUUUUAUGCCCAGAAAUGUUCAGAAAAAAGUCUGAUGUUUUAAGCUGCAAAAUCCUUUAUAACUUUCGCUAACACUAUGAAAACUAAAACCAACGCAAGUUUUACCAAGUUUCUUUGUUUUGAGCAAGUUUAAAACCUUGGAUUCAAGAAUUUUCAAAUUCAUUUUCCAUUUAAAAACCUGCUAAAACAAUGCCUUCAUAUUUUAAAGCUUGACUCCAGUGAAAAUCAUUUUCACAGGAAAACAUAAAAUUUCAAAAGCAUUAGGCUUCGAGUGCUCCCCCUGUGAACUGCUAAAACAGUUUAGCACAUAAUUAUUCACAUUAAGCACCGAUAACAACUUCAUAAAUAAUAUCCAAAUAUGAAGAUCACUCAUAUGUAAUUCCUCAAAAUCCUUAGAGCACCUAAAAAUGUAUCUAAAAAGCAAAUAAGUAUGAAACGCAGCGAAAAAUUAAAAUCGUGCGAUAAUCGUGCGAAUGGUUUUUAUGCCCAGAAUUGUUCAGAAACAAAGUCUGAUGUUUUUAAGCUGCAAAAUCCUUUAUAACUUUCACUUAACACUACGAAAAUUAUGAAAACCAACGCAAGUUUUGCCGAGUUUCUUUGUUUGAGUGAGUUUAAAACAUUGGAUUCGAGAUAUUCAAAUUAAUUUCCACUUAAAAACCUGCUAAAACAAUGCCUUCAUAUUUUAAAGCUUGACUCCAGUGAAAAUCAUUUUCACAGGAAAACAUAAAAUUUCAAAAGCAUUAGGCUUCGAGUGCUCCCCCUGUGAACUGCUAAAACAGUUUAGCACAUAAUUAUUCACAUUAAGCACCGAUAACAACUUCAUAAAUAAUAUCCAAAUAUGAAGAUCACUCAUAUGUAAUUCCUCAAAAUCCUUAGAGCACCUAAAAAUGUAUCUAAAAAGCAAAUAAGUACGAAACGCAGCGAAAAAUUAAAAUCGUGCGAUAAUCGUGCGAAUGGUUUUUAUGCCCAGAAUUGUUCAGAAACAAAGUCUGAUGUUUUUAAGCUGCAAAAUCCUUUAUAACUUUCACUUAACACUACGAAAAUUAUUAAAACCAACGCAAGUUUUACCGAGUUUCUUUGUUUGAGUGAGUUUAAAACAUUGGAUUCGAGAUAUUCAAAUUAAUUUCCACUUAAAAACCUGCUAAAACAAUGCCUUCAUAUUUUAAAGCUUGACUCCAGUGAAAAUCAUUUUCGCAGGAAAACAUAAAAUUUCAAAAGCAUUAGGCUUCGAGUGCUCCCCCUGUGAACUGCUAAAACAGUUUAGCACAUAAUUAUUCACAUUAAGCACCGAUAACAACUUCAUAAAUAAUAUCCAAAUAUGAAGAUCACUCAUAUGUAAUUCCUCAAAAUCCUUAGAGCACCUAAAAAUGUAUCUAAAAAGCAAAUAAGUACGAAACGCAGCGAAAAAUUAAAAUCGUGCGAUAAUCGUGCGAAUGGUUUUUAUGCCCAGAAUUGUUCAGAAACAAAGUCUGAUGUUUUUAAGCUGCAAAAUCCUUUAUAACUUUCACUUAACACUACGAAAAUUAUUAAAACCAACGCAAGUUUUACCGAGUUUCUUUGUUUGAGUGAGUUUAAAACAUUGGAUUCGAGAUAUUCAAAUUAAUUUCCACUUAAAAACCUGCUAAAACAAUGCCUUCAUAUUUUAAAGCUUGACUCCAGUGAAAAUCAUUUUCAAAGGAAAACAUAAAAUUUCAAAAGCAUUAGGCUUCGAGUGCUCCCUUAUAAACUGCUAAAACAAUUUAGCACACAAUUAUUCACAUUAAGCACAUAACAACUCAUAAAUAAUAUCCAAAUAUGAAGAUCAUUCAUAUAUAAUUCCUCAAAUCCUGUAGAGCACCUAAAAUGUAUCUAAAAGCAUAUAAGCAUGAAACACAGCGAAAAAUUUUAAAAUCGUGCAAUAAUUGUGCGAAGGUUUUUUAUGCCCAGAAUUGUCAAAACCAAAGUCUGAUGUUUUAAAACUUCGAAAUCCUUUAUAACUUACACUUAACACCAUGAAAACAACAAAAUUAAAAUCACGCGAAAAUUGUUCGAAUAUUUUUAUGCCCAGAAUUGUUCGAAACAAAGUCUGAUAUUUUGAGUUUCAAAAUCCUUUCUAAAGUUACUCUUAAAACAGUGGAAAAAUGAAAAACCAAUGCUAGUUUUACCUUGUUUCAUUGUUUGAGCAGGUUUAAAACGUUCGAUUCAAUAGAUUGAAAUUCAUUUCCAUUCAAAAACCUUCUAAAACAAUGCUUUCCUAUUUUAAAGCUUUACACUAGUGAAAACCGUUUUCAAAGCAAAACAUAAAAUUUCAAAAGUAUUAGGCUUCGAGUGCUCCCCCUGUAAACUGGUAGAAAGCACACAACAAUAUCCAACUUCACAAAUAACAUCCAAAUAUGAAUUUCAAUCAUAUGUAAUUCCUAAACAUCCUUAGAGCACCUAAAAAUGUAUCUAAAAGCAAAUAAGUAUUAAACACAACGAAAUAUUAAAAUCGUGCAAUAAUUGUGCGAAUGGUUUUUACGCCCAGAAUUUUUCGGAAACAAAGUCUGAUGUUUUAAGCUGCAAAAUCCUUUAUAACUUUCGCUUAACACUAUGUAAAACUAAAACCAACGCAAGCUUUACCAAGUUUCUUUGUUUGAGUGGGUUUAAAACAUUGGAUUCAAGAUAUUCAAAUUCAUUUCCAUUCAAAAACUAGCUAAAACAAUGCUUUUAUAUUUUAAAGCUUCACUCCAGUGAAAAUCAUUUUCAAAGGAAAACAUAAAAUUUCAAAAGCAUUACGCUUCGAGUGCUCCCCUUAUAAACUGCUAAAACAAUUUAGCACACAAUUAUUCACAUUAAGCACCAAUAACAACUUCAUAAAUAAUAUCCAAAUAUGAAGAUCAUUCAUAUGUAAUUCCUCAAAAUCCUUAAAGCACCUAAAAAUGUAUCUAAAAGCAAAUAAUUAUGAAACACAGCGAAAAAUUAAAAUCGUGCGAUAUUUGUGCGAAUGGUUUUUAUGCCCAAAAUUGUUCAAAACCAAAAGUCUGAUGUUUUAAACUUCGAAAUCCUUCAUAACUUACACUUAACACCAUGAAAAACAACAAGAAAAUUAAAAUCAUGCGAAAAUUGUUCGAAUGUUUUUUAUGCCCAGAAUUGUUCGGCAGCAAAGUCUGAUAUUUUGAGCUUCAAAAUCCUUUCUAAGUUUCUUUGUUUGAGCAAGUUUAAAACAUUGGAUUCAAGAUUUUGAAAUUCAUUUCCAUUUAAAAACCUGCUAAAACAAUGCUUUCCUAUUUUAAAGCUUCACUCCAGUGAAAAUCAUUUUCAAAGCAAAACAUAAAAUUUCAAAAAGCAUUAGGCUUCGAGUACUCCCCCUGUAAACUGGUAGAAAGCACAAAACGAUAUCCAACUUCACAAAUAAUAUCCAAAUAUGAAUUUCAUUCAUAUGUAAUUCCUAAACAUCCUUAGAGCACCUAAAAAUGUAUCUAAAACCAAAUAAGUAUGAAACACAACGAAAUAUUAAAAUCGUGCAAUAAUUGUGCGAAUGGUUUUUAUGCCUAGAAUUGUUCAGAAACAAAGUCUGAUGUUUUAAGCUGCAAAAUCCUUUAUAACUUUCGCUUAACACUAUGAAAAACUAAAACCAACGCAAGUUUUACCAAGUUUCAUUGUUUGAGUGAGUUUAAAACAUUGGAUUCAAGAUAUUCAAAUUCAUUUCCAUUUAAAAACCAGCUAAAACAAUGCUUUCAUAUUUUAAAGCUUGACUCCAGUGAAAAUCAUUUUCACAGGAAAACAUAAAAUUUCAAAAGCAUUAGGCUUCGAGUGCUCCCCCUGUGAACUGCUAAAACAGUUUAGCACAUAAUUAUUCACAUUAAGCACCGAUAACAACUUCAUAAAUAAUAUCCAAAUAUGAAGAUCACUCAUAUGUAAUUCCUCAAAAUCCUUAGAGCACCUAAAAAUGUAUCUAAAAAGCAAAUAAGUACGAAACGCAGCGAAAAAUUAAAAUCGUGCGAUAAUCGUGCGAAUGGUUUUUAUGCCCAGAAUUGUUCAGAAACAAAGUCUGAUGUUUUUAAGCUGCAAAAUCCUUUAUAACUUUCACUUAACACUACGAAAAUUAUGAAAACCAACGCAAGUUUUGCCGAGUUUCUUUGUUUGAGUGAGCUUAAAACAUUGGAUUCGAGAUAUUCAAAUUAAUUUCCACUUAAAAACCUGCUAAAACAAUGCCUUCAUAUUUUAAAGCUUGACUCCAGUGAAAAUCAUUUUCACAGGAAAACAUAAAAUUUCAAAAGCAUUAGGCUUCGAGUGCUCCCCCUGUGAACUGCUAAAACAGUUUAGCACAUAAUUAUUCACAUUAAGCACCGAUAACAACUUCAUAAAUAAUAUCCAAAUAUGAAGAUCACUCAUAUGUAAUUCCUCAAAAUCCUUAGAGCACCUAAAAAUGUAUCUAAAAAGCAAAUAAGUACGAAACGCAGCGAAAAAUUAAAAUCGUGCGAUAAUCGUGCGAAUGGUUUUUAUGCCCAGAAUUGUUCAGAAACAAAGUCUGAUGUUUUUAAGCUGCAAAAUCCUUUAUAACUUUCACUUAACACUACGAAAAUUAUUAAAACCAACGCAAGUUUUACCGAGUUUCUUUGUUUAGUGAGUUUAAAACAUUGGAUUCGAGAUAUUCAAAUUAAUUUCCACUUAAAAACCUGCUAAAACAAUGCCUUCAUAUUUUAAAGCUUGACUCCAGUGAAAAUCAUUUUCACAGGAAAACAUAAAAUUUCAAAAGCAUUAGGCUUCGAGUGCUCCCCCUUGAACUGCUAAAACAGUUUAGCACAUAAUUAUUCACAUUAAGCACCGAUAACAACUUCAUAAAUAAUAUCCAAAUAUGAAGAUCACUCAUAUGUAAUUCCUCAAAAUCCUUAGAGCACCUAAAAAUGUAUCUAAAAAAGCAAAUAAGUACGAAACGCAGCGAAAAAUUAAAAUCGUGCGAUAAUCGUGCGAAUGGUUUUUUAUGCCCAGAAUUGUUCAGAAACAAAGUCUGAUGUUUUUAAGCUGCAAAAUCCUUUAUAACUUUCACUUAACACUACGAAAAUUAUUAAAACCAACGCAAGUUUACCGAGUUUCUUUGUUUGAGUGAGUUUAAAACAUUGGAUUCGAGAUAUUCAAAUUAAUUUCCACUUAAAAACCUGCUAAAACAAUGCCUUCAUAUUUUAAAGCUUGACUCCAGUGAAAAUCAUUUUCACAGGAAAACAUAAAAUUUCAAAAGCAUUAGGCUUCGAGUGCUCCCCCUGUGAACUGCUAAAACAGUUUAGCACAUAAUUAUUCACAUUAAGCACCGAUAACAACUUCAUAAAUAAUAUCCAAAUAUGAAGAUCACUCAUAUGUAAUUCCUCAAAAUCCUUAGAGCACCUAAAAAUGUAUCUAAAAAGCAAAUAAGUACGAAACGCAGCAAAAAUUAAAAUCGUGCGAUAAUCGUGCGAAUGGUUUUUAUGCCCAGAAUUGUUCAGAAACAAAGUCUGAUGUUUUUAAGCUGCAAAAUCCUUUAUAACUUUCACUUAACACUACGAAAAUUAUUAAAACCAACGCAAGUUUUACCAAGUUUCAUUGUUUGAGUGAGUUUAAAACAUUGGAUUCAAGAUAUUCAAAUUCAUUUCCAUUUAAAAACCAGCUAAAACAAUGCUUUCAUAUUUUAAAGCUUGACUCCAGUGAAAAUCAUUUUCAAAGGAAAACAUAAAAUUUCAAAAGCAUUAGGCUUCGAGUGCUCCCCUUAUAAACUGCUAAAACAAUUUAGCACACAAUUAUUCACAUUAAGCACCAAUAACAACUUCAUAAAUAAUAUCCAAAUAUGAAGAUCAUUCAUAUGUAAUUCCUCAAAAUCCUUAGAGCACCUAAAAAUGUAUCUAAAAGCAUAUAAGCAUGAAACACAGCGAAAAAUUAAAAUCGUGCAAUAAUUGUGCGAAUGGUUUUUAUGCCCAGAAUUGUUCAAAACCAAAAGUCUGAUGUUUUAAACUUCGAAAUCCUUUAUAACUUACACUUAACACCAUGAAAAACAACAAGAAAAUUAAAAUCACGCGAAAAUUGUUCGAAUAUUUUUUACGCCCAUAAUUGUUCAGAAGCAAAGUCUGAUGUUUUAAGUUCUAAAACCCUUUAUAACUUACACUAAACAUUACGAAAAAUUAAAACCAAUGCAAGUUUUACCAUGUUUCUUUGUUUGAGCAAGUUCAAAACAUUGGAUUCAAGAUAUUGAAAUUCAUUUCCAUUUCAAAACCUGCUAAAACAAUGCUUUCGUAUUUUAAAGCUUGACGCCGGUGAAAAUCAUUUUCAAAGCAAAACAUAAAAAUUUCAAAACCAUUAGGCUUCGAGUGCUCCCCCUAUAAACUGCUAAAACAAUUUAGCGCAUAAUUAAUCACAUCAAGCACCAAUAACAACUUCACAAAUAAUAUCCAAAUAUGAAGAUCAUUAAUACGUAAUUCCUCAACAUCCUUAGAGCACCUAAAAAUGUAUCUAAAAGCAAAUAAGCAUGAAUAACAACGAAAAAUAAAAAUCGUGCAAUAAUUGUGCGAAUGGCUUUUAAGCCCAUAAUUGUUCAGAAACAAAGUCUAAUGGUUUAAGCUCCAAAAUCCUUUAUAACAUACGCUUAACACUAUGAAAAAUUAAAACCAACGCAAGUUUUACCAAGUUUCUUUGUUUGAGUGAGUUUAAAACAUUGGAUUCAAGAUAUUCAAAUUCAUUUCCAUUUAAAAACCAGCUGAAACAAUGCUUUCAUAUUUUAAAGCUUGACUCCAGUGAAAAUAAUUUUCAAAGGAAAACAUAAAAUUCAAAAGCAUUAGGCUUCGAGUGCUCCCCCUAUAAACUGCUAAAACAAUUUAGCACACAAUUAUUCACAUUAAGCACCAAUAACAACUUCAUAGAUUAUCCAAAUAUGAAGAUCAUUCAUAUGUAAUUCCUCAAAAUCCUUAGAGCACCUAAAAAUGUAUCUAAAAGCAAAUAAGUAUGAAACACAGCGAAAAAUUAAAAUCGUGCGAUAAUUGUGCGAAUGGUUUUUAUGUCCAGAAUUGUUCAAAACCAAAGUCUGAUGUUUCAAACUUCGAAAUCCUUUAUAACUUACACUUAACACCAUGAAAAACAACAAGAAAAUUAAAAUCACGCGAAAAUUGUUCGAAUAUUUUUUA